GCAUGUUGUGAAGUGCUCUUUGGGGCAUUCCUAAGAAUUCAGACUUUUCUUCCAUUGAGGAUGUGACAAAGUUGAAGGUUGUUUUUUGUUUUGUUUUGUUUUGUUUUUUGUUUUGUGUGUGUGUGUGUAUGUGUGAGUUUUUUGAUAGGAGACAUAAUAAAAUUGUAUUUUAGAACUAUGUUAAAAAUCCUAAUGUUGACUCCCUAAAUGACUAUGUAAUUAGCUUAGUUUGUUGACACUAUACCUAGAGAAAGUCAGUAACCUCAUGUAUAUAUAAACAAGUCUUUGAAAAGUGUAACACUUUCUAAGAAGAAAGGGUCCAGGAAGGUGGAAGAGUAGGAAGCAACGGAAAUGCUCUUGCAGAGAUGGUUGUCUAGGGUGGAACUUUCAUUCUUUUGAAGGCAGAGUUGCUGAAUAUUUUUAGCAAAAGUCACAAGAUAAUUAAAACUAAACCAAAAAGACAAGGAAGAAUAGGCUAUUCAAACAUAAACACAACAUAACAUAAACAACAGAAACUAUCUCAUUAAAAGAUAAAAUGACAGGUUUGAGACUCUCGAAAACAAAUAUUAAAGAUGCUUAUAGAACAACAGGAAGGGGUAGAAAAGAUAAACAGUAC
This 616-nucleotide long non-coding RNA is filed under the name Mus musculus (house mouse). RNAcentral's name for it is "long non-coding RNA chr19:56553701-56554317". The record is from RNAcentral. Lineage: Eukaryota; Metazoa; Chordata; Mammalia; Rodentia; Muridae.